GCUCCUGUAGCUUAGUGGUUAAGCUCCAUGUAUGCGCGCGGGUUCGAGUCCCACCAGGAGCA
Molecule: transfer RNA, 62 nt
Filed under: Globisporangium ultimum DAOM BR144
Lineage: Eukaryota; Oomycota; Peronosporomycetes; Pythiales; Pythiaceae
Description: Pythium ultimum DAOM BR144 tRNA
Rfam family: tRNA
About the family: Transfer RNA (tRNA) molecules are approximately 80 nucleotides in length.
Source: Rfam by way of RNAcentral